CUACGCACUCCUACGGGAGGCAGCAGUGGGGAAUAUUGCACAAUGGGCGCAAGCCUGAUGCAGCCAUGCCGCGUGUAUGAAGAAGGCCUUCGGGUUGUAAAGUACUUUCAGCAGUGAGGAAGGUGGGUAUGUUAAUAGCAUACUCAUUUGACGUUAGCUGCAGAAGAAGCACCGGCUAACUCCCGUGCCAGCAGCCGCGGUAAUACGGAGGGUGCGAGCGUUAAUCGGAAUUACUGGGCGUAAAGCGCAUGCAGGUGGUUUGUUAAGUCAGAUGUGAAAGCCCGGGGCUCAACCUCGGAAUUGCAUUUGAAACUGGCAAACUAGAGUACUGUAGAGGGGGUAGAAUUUCAGGUGUAGCGGUGAAAUGCGUAGAGAUCUGAAGGAAUACCGGUGGCGAAGGCGGCCCCCUGGACAGAUACUGACACUCAGAUGCGAAAGCGUGGGGAGCAAACAGGAUUAGAUACCCUGGUAG
RNAcentral lists this ribosomal RNA (472 nucleotides) under uncultured bacterium. RNAcentral describes it as "bacterial SSU rRNA". It matches the Rfam family "Bacterial small subunit ribosomal RNA", at positions 329 to 793 of the family's 1533-position model. The record is from RNAcentral.